CGCACUCUUCGGAGUGAGUGGCAGACGGGUGAGUAACGCGUGGGAACCUACCUAUCGGUACGGAAUAACCCGGGGAAACCCGUGCUAAUACCGUAUACGCCCUUUUGGGGAAAGAUUCAUCGCCGAUGGAUGGGCCCGCGUCGGAUUAGCUUGUUGGUGUGGUAACGGCGCACCAAGGCGACGAUCCGUAGCUGGUCUGAGAGGAUGAUCAGCCACACUGGGACUGAGACACGGCCCAGACUCCUACGGGAGGCAGCAGUGGGGAAUAUUGGACAAUGGGCGCAAGCCUGAUCCAGCCAUGCCGCGUGAGUGAAGAAGGCCUUAGGGUUGUAAAUCUCUUUCGGCGGGGAAGAUAAUGACGGUACCCGCAGAAGAAGCCCCGGCUAACUCCGUGCCAGCAGCCGCGGUAAUACGGAGGGGGCUAGCGUUGUUCGGAAUUACUGGGCGUAAAGGGCACGUAGGCUGGCUGUUAAGUCGGGGGUGAAAUCCUGAGGCUCAACCUCAGAAUUGCCUCCGAUACUGGCGGUCUCGAGUGCGGGAGAGGUGAGUGGAAUUCCCAGUGUAGAGGUGAAAUUCGUAGAUAUUGGGAAGAACACCAGUGGCGAAGGCGGCUCACUGGCCCGCAACUGACGCUGAGGUGCGAAAGCGUGGGGAGCAAACAG
This 662-nucleotide ribosomal RNA is filed under the name uncultured bacterium. RNAcentral's name for it is "bacterial SSU rRNA". It matches the Rfam family "Bacterial small subunit ribosomal RNA", at positions 67 to 775 of the family's 1533-position model. The record is from RNAcentral.